RNAcentral lists this ribosomal RNA (175 nucleotides) under uncultured bacterium. RNAcentral's name for it is "partial 16S ribosomal RNA". It matches the Rfam family "Bacterial small subunit ribosomal RNA", at positions 1325 to 1500 of the family's 1533-position model. The record is from RNAcentral.
GCUGGAAUCGCUAGUAAUCGCAGAUCAGAAUGCUGCGGUGAAUACGUUCCCGGGUCUUGUACACACCGCCCGUCACACCAUGGGAGUUGGAAAUGCCCGAAGCCAGUGACCCAACCGUAAGGAGGGAGCUGUCGAAGGUGGAGCCGAUGACUGGGUGAAGUCGUAACAAGGUACC